AGCGCGGUGGUCCCACCUGACCCCAUGCCGAACUCAGAAGUGAAACGCCGUAGUGCCGAUGGUAGUGUGGGGUCUCCCCAUGCGAGAGUAGGGAACUGCCAGGC
This 104-nucleotide ribosomal RNA is filed under the name Escherichia coli. The record is from RNAcentral. Lineage: Bacteria; Pseudomonadati; Pseudomonadota; Gammaproteobacteria; Enterobacterales; Enterobacteriaceae.